This 114-nucleotide ribosomal RNA is filed under the name uncultured bacterium. RNAcentral describes it as "partial 16S ribosomal RNA". It matches the Rfam family "Bacterial small subunit ribosomal RNA", at positions 1360 to 1482 of the family's 1533-position model. The record is from RNAcentral.
CGGUGAAUACGUUCCCGGACCUUGUACACACCGCCCGUCAGGCCAUGGAAGCCGGGUGUACCUAAAGUCGAUAACCGCAAGGAGUCGCCUAGGGUAAAACUGGUGACUGGGGCU